GGGGCCCUACGUGGCGAGGAAAGGCGGGGCCCGCCUGCGCGCGCCACUGGCGGCUGCGCGCUGGAGGGCGGCCACUCCCACAGCGGGCGGCGGUGAGGGCGCUGGGCCGGCUGCCGGCGUGGGACCGACGAGGGCGGGAAGGCGCUUGAGCUGAACGCUGGCACGGUUUCCUAGAGCUAAAAGAAAGGCUGAGUUAGAGUACCCUUCCAAAAUGGCUGCUCUUAAGGAAGAGAGAGAGGUGGAAGACUACAAGAGGAAAGGAAGACGAUCCUCACAGCAGAAAUACCGUAGACUGAAUAAGGGCCAUGAGCCAAAGGAGCCAGAGCAGUUGAGAAAGCUGUUCAUUGGAGGUCUGAGCUUUGAAACAACAGAUGAUAGCUUGAGAGAGCACUUUGAAAAAUGGGGCACACUCACGGACUGUGUGGUGAUGAGAGACCCCCAAACAAAACGUUCCAGAGGCUUCGGCUUUGUGACUUACUCUUGUGUGGAGGAGGUGGAUGCUGCCAUGAGCGCUCGACCACAUAAGGUUGAUGGACGCGUGGUUGAACCAAAGAGGGCGGUUUCAAGGGAGGAUUCUGUAAAGCCUGGGGCACAUCUCACAGUAAAGAAAAUAUUUGUUGGUGGAAUUAAAGAAGACACAGAAGAAUAUAAUUUAAGGGAGUACUUUGAAAAGUACGGCAAGAUUGAAACCAUAGAAGUGAUGGAAGACAGGCAAAGUGGAAAGAAGAGAGGCUUUGCUUUUGUGACUUUUGAUGAUCAUGAUACAGUUGAUAAAAUUGUUGUUCAGAAAUACCAUACUAUAAAUGGACAUAACUGUGAAGUGAAAAAAGCACUCUCAAAACAAGAGAUGCAGACUGCUAGCUCUCAGAGAGUAAAAUAUUUUGUAGGUCGUGGGGGUGGCUCAGGCAACUUCAUGGGUCGUGGAAACUUUGGAGGCGGUGGAGGGAACUUUGGCAGAGGAGGAAACUUUGGUGGAAGAGGAGGCUAUGGGGGUGGUGGUGGCGGUGGUGGGAGCAGAGGAAGCUUUGGGGGUGGUGACGGAUACAAUGGAUUUGGUGAUGGGGGCAACUAUGGAGGGGGUCCUGGCUAUGGCAGCAGAGGAGGUUAUGGUGGUGGUGGAGGACCGGGAUAUGGAAACCCAGGUGGUGGAUAUGGAGGUGGAGGAGGAGGAUAUGAUGGCUACAAUGAAGGAGGAAAUUUCGGUGGUGGUAAUUAUGGUGGAAGUGGAAACUACAAUGAUUUUGGCAAUUACAGUGGACAGCAGCAAUCCAACUAUGGUCCCAUGAAAGGUGGUGGCAGCUUUGGUGGCAGAAGUUCAGGCAGUCCCUAUGGUGGUGGUUAUGGAUCUGGAAGUGGAAGUGGGGGCUAUGGUGGUAGAAGAUUCUAAAAAUGCUACCAGAAAAAGGGUUGAAUGAGAAGCUGCUGCUUGACAAAAUGGGGAAUGUCUUGCACAUCCUCUUCAGUUGAAGGUUUCUGACUGGGUACAAAGCUGGUGUGUGUCUGAGAUCAACGAGAGAGAAAUGAGAAAUGCUUUGAACUACGUGCUCUGAAAAGUUACUGGGGUGCUUGGGGGAGGAGGGCGGGAGGGGGGAGAAGCUGUUGUUUGCCCUGUGGUGGAAAGAGGCGCCCUGCAGAGACCCAGCCAGGGAAGAUGGGAAGUGGCCCAUGCCAGGUCUCAUGGGAACUCUGUAAAGGCGCUUUGUGCUGCUCAGGGCAGCAAGUUCCCUCCUAGUAAACAUGUCUUGGCUCUACGAGGUGGGUUUACAUUUGUACAAAUCAAAGAGCUCCCUCAGAUGUUCAGUGCUUCCAGGCAGGGGGCUUUAGUGGAGGCUGAUGCCGUCAUGUGAAGCCCAGCUGGAAGCACAACUGUGUUAUACAGAUGAAUGGCAUUAAAGGAAUCUUUCAUCAACCUGCUUUAAUGCAGAUCGGUUCUUAACUCUUGGAACAUGUAUUUCCUUUUCUGCAUCUUUGAUCGUUACAGACGUGGAGUAUUUUUAGCUCCUUUUAUAUUUAGAGUAGCCUAGUACCUAUUUAAUCUUGGCAAUACAUUUUUGAGUCUGCAUUAGCUUUGUGAAGUCAGUUUCUAUUUUAGCAUUGGUUAUGCUUCAGUUACUCAGAAAAUAAAGUCAAAUGGAACCCUUGCAUUUCAGUUUAACCUGGAGCUUGGUCAUGUUCACAGACUGAUUCAAGUAUUUAAACUUGUUGCCUGCUGUCUGUAAACAUCCAGAAAGCAAACUCUUGACAUUGUAACUUAGAAUUAAAGUUAAGUUGAAAGUAACUUACAGUGGUGAUUGAUGUUGAGAUUUUCAGGUAAGCAGGAGCUACUUGAUGGAAAGCUCACAAUGACUGUUUGUGUUUUUGACAAAUGUUGACAAACAUUUUCGAUUAGCCAAAGUUGAGCCAGAAUUUGGUGCAGUAAGGUCACAGCCUCCUUAGCACAGCAUGCCAGGCAGUGAGCUGCUGAGGUGACAGCUUGCUUUCUUACACCUAGAGCUGGAAAACCUUUGCUUUUCCGCUGCUGGGCAGGGUUUCCUCAUGAGCUCACCUGUACAUAGCAACAGGUAGUGGGGAAGAGCAGUAGUGUGUCUCUGCUGAGGGCAAAGGCUCUGUUCUUGUGGGAGAGGGGAAGUGUUACUAUUUUUGAACAGUAGAAUGUUGAAAAUGUUGUAACAAAAACUCUGCUCUGCAUCCCAUUACUAGGCCUGUGUGUAGAGCAUAGCUCAGCCUUAGCAUGAGAGGAGUCUACGUUGCUGCAGACUCGUUCUGUGCUCUGGAGGGUGGUUUUUGCACCACAUGUAGAGCUAGAUAGUCACUGGCAGAAUUAUUUUCACCCUUUGAUUUAUAACACUCCCGUUAGACUAAUUUGCUUAAUCUCAAUUAUUCAUACCCCAAUUUGAUCAGAAAUAAACCUUGUCAAAGGUAAACGCAUGUAUCUUUGCCCAAGAGGUGCUUCCAAGAGUUAAGAAUUUUUGUUUGUGGGUAGGUUUUUCUGCAGUGGCUGCUAUUGAAAACAGCUGUAAAUGGAGAUGUAAAGAUGUAAAGUCAACAAAGCAUUGGUCCUUAAGCUGCAGUUCUACAGAAGUUUAUUUGCUGCCUAAACCUUUGUCUUAAUCUAAAAGCAAACAGUACUUCCAAGAAGUGAAAAUGUAUUUCCCCAAAAGGGGCCCAGGUUGAUGCGGAUGUGAUAAGUGUUUUGUUAUUAUAGAACCCUGAAAUGAAACACAGCAUCUUAACUUUGAUAUCAUUUAAAUACUUAAGGCAGGAAGGGGAAUGCUCAUGUCUUUCAAGCAUUGGUUGUGUGAUGUACUGACUUGCUGUCUUUGGUUCCUGUGUUCAAGACAUUAAUGUGUUUUCAUAGACUGUCUGCACCGCAGUGGAAUAUUCACUUACGUAUCGGUCUGUGGUCUCUGAUGGGCGUUUAUAUCUUAAGCUAUGUGGAGCAUGAAAGAUCUUGAGUCUCUCUGAAAUUCGGGUAUCUGAUGGAUGGUUCUUUUUCUGCUGUGGGUGCUACAGGUUGACAUCUCUGUCUAAGAUUAGCUUUUUCCUGAACUAAAGUAAUCCAAGUAUCUCCGUAGAAGAAAAAUGGCCUUCAUGUAGAAGAUAAUAUCGCAAGAUUGGAAACAGAAUAAUAUGUUACAAUAACUGGCAAAGACUUGAAGAGCAACGGUGCCAGUGUGCUGAGAUCUUAGAACUUGUGCUUAAACAAGUUUGAAAAUAGUAUGGAAAUUUUAAAAUUUCAGUAUAAUCCAUAAUGGAUUGAAAAUUGUUAAAAAUAUUUCCAUUUUGUAUCAGAAUAAAGUGUAUGUUGUCAAGUGACUCACAUCUAAAAUGCGCUACCAUCACCUUUCUUUAGUGCUGUGCAGAACACAAAGCGGUCCUAACUCACUGCAACACACCGAGUUACAGGAUCAGCUUUCCAGCUUGGGACUGGUGGUUCAGCCCCACUCCUCAGCUUUGCUUUUAAUGGUUGUAGAACUGAAUGUUCUGAUCAAAAAGUAAGUGGCCUCUGCAUGGGGAGUUGUCGGCGUGCAAGGUCAGCAUUGGGAUGCGUUAGACUUGGCAAUGUCACAGUUGCUCUUGGCUUCGGGAACAUACUCUGUACCUCAGUAAUAACAAUAAAAUUAAGGAUUUAGUUUGCAA
Molecule: RNA transcript, 4140 nt
Organism: Strigops habroptila (Kakapo)
Lineage: Eukaryota; Metazoa; Chordata; Aves; Psittaciformes; Psittacidae
Gene: HNRNPA3
Gene name: heterogeneous nuclear ribonucleoprotein A3
Exons: 14
Source: RefSeq, a predicted model, not a curated record